UUGUCCCUGAUGAUAUUUUGCGAAAAUCACCUCCCCUUUCUUCCGACAAACUACGCAGCCCUCCCUCCGUCUGCUUCUCUGCUCCGUCGCCUCGCCACGCGCCGGCCACCUGCUCCGUCGCCUCGCCGCCUGCUCCGUCGCCUCGCCGCAUGUCGGCCGCCUUCUCCCCCUCGUCUCGCCGCUUCUCUCCGUCCGCACUAGGAGAUCAAGAGGGAAGGGAUCCCCUUUUCUGUAAAGCUCGUGCCUUGUCGGCUCCGUCGACGGCGCUCGAUGACCCGCUCCUCGUCCUCGAGCACCUCCUCCAGACCUCGAGCUCCGGCGGCGGCGCUCGAUGGCCCGCUCCUUGUCCUUGAGCACCUCCUCCAGACCUCGAGUUCCGGCGGAGGUGGCGUGGGAAAGACGACCAGGGCAUGGGGAGGACGAAGACUUGCUCCAGCAGCUCGUCUUGCUCCUCGAGCUGGUGGGCUGAUGAUGGAGGACCUGCACUCUUGGCUCCACCAGCGCCGCCGCUGCCGCUUCUGCUCCCCGUUCGCCCACAUCGCAGAGAUUGGAGGAGGAAUGGAGUAUUGCAGAGGAAUGGAUGAUGCUUCUUUUGGUGCAGGUGAGCCAUGUAUUGGGAGUACGAGUACAGCACUGACAAAAUUCAGUUAGCCAUGGAGUACAAUAGAUGAACAUACAGUAUAGAUUCAGUUAGCCUUGCACUUUGCAUGCUUCCAGUAUUGGUGAACAUACAGUAUAAAUUCAGUAUAAACAGUAUUGGUGAUAAUUGAGUUCAAUUGGUGACAAAAUCACUACUUUGUGUACACAUUGACUGAAUUUAACUUGGAGUACAGGCACUACAUUGCUUCUCUGCUUACAAAAUUCAGAUUGAAUUUCACUAUCAAAAGAAAAGAAGUGAAGAUUAAAUGCACAACACUUCAAUUGUGUGCUCAGUAAAAUUACCAAGUUCAGUAAAAUUCAGUCUAUGAAUUCAGAUUACUGUGUGCUCAAUUGUGUGCAUCGCUGGGACAAUUUACUGUUCAUGAAUUGGAGUAGAUCUCUGCUUUCAUGUUUUAGGUAGCAUCAUCCAUGGAUGCAUUCACUAUUUCAAUCAACUCCUGAAGAUUGGAUUCAGUACAAAAUUCAGUUAACUACUAUAGAAAAGAGAGAUUCCAAAUUAAUCAAUUUAAUUCAGUAGAAUUUUUUUCCACCUAGUCCCCCUGUUUCCAGGUCAAGACCUUCACCCUGCGCUCAUCAUGUAAGCCACUUUGUAAUCUUAUUGUGCUGUCUUUUCUCUGUCUUUCUGUCAGGAAGGAUUUGGGAAUGUUUUCAGAGAUGUUUUCCUUCUCUCAUUUUAGACCAUGAUCAUUUUAAUGCUACAGUUCAGAAACAAGGAAAUUUAGUUGAUGAAAGCACAUUCCAUGAACAUCAAGGAAAUUUUAGUAAACUGCAGUAGGAUUUUUCCAUGUUAGUGCUUGCAAAAUUUGUCGCUGUCAACUGAAACAUGAGUGUAUGUUUUCAUUUUCCAAGCUAGUGCUUGCAAAAUUUGCAAGCAUUGUUCUUUUAUUUUAUUUCUUUGUACAAUAUGGCAGUAGAGACCAUGCCAGUAGAGACCACAACAGUAGUGACCAUGACAGUACUGAACAUAUGCUCCCCUGAAUUUUUUAUGCUCCUACUCCACUUUAUGAUUUUUUUUAACUGCCAAAUGACAAUUUACUGAAGAUGCAGAGAAGAUGCUAGUAGUAUCUCUCACAAGUUAACUUAAUCUUGGAAAGUUCACUUUAUGUGCUCACAUUCGAUCGUGUGUAAUAGUUCUACGAAGGUAAUCUUGUAGAGAAUAGGCUUAAGAACCCUGCUUUUAUACAUAGUUUAAUUUUAUGCUCAAUAGACCAGCAACAUGACUCUACUUCUGUAUGUUGUGUAAUUAAUUAAUCCAGAGUAAGAAUCUUGGAAAGUUGGAAGGCCUAUCUGCAUGAAGAAAAACUACAAGUGAAUGCCCACCAUUUUGAAAGCUUUUCCUCCUGUGGGUGCUCUGACAGCUCAAAAAAAAAGUGAUGACAUAUUAAAUUCCUUAAUAAUGUUCUUUUAUCUUGAGGAAAUUGACAGCAACAGUAGAUCAGAAAUUGCUUCUACUCUAGAGUACUCUCACCGGCAGCAUGAUCAAUUGUGUUUGAAAUUAAUGAACAAGUGCAAGGAUCAGAAAAUGGAGCUUCUUCUCACCGGCAGCAUGAUCAAUUGUGUUUGAAAUUAAUGAACAAGUGCAAGGAUCAGAAAUUGGAGCUUCUUCUCACCGGCAGCAGCACAAGCAGGGUAGCUCCGGUCAGCAGCACGAGCAAGCCCGCCUGGGAGGAGCAGCAACUUAUAGACGAGCAGCAGGUCUAGGAGAGGAGUGGGGGAGACGACAGGGGCCUCGAGGUUGAGGAUGAGCUUCAAUUCCAGGCCCGCCGGGAGCUCCAGGUCCAGGCGCUCGAGACCCAGGCGCGCGCAGGUCCUGGCGGCGGCGCAGGCCCUGGCUGGCGGGAGGGGAUAGCGGCGCAGCCCUAGGAGGCAGAAGGGGUGACGGCGGGAGAGGAUGGCGGCGGUGCAGCGCCAUUCAGCCGUGGAGCCGCCGCCCGUCGAGGUGGUCGCCGCGGAGGAGCAGGUGGACGGCGCAGGUGGGCGCGGGCGGCGUUGGUUCACAGCGGUAGUGCAGCUCGCCUCGGGUGGCGUAGGUGGGCACGGGCGGCGGUGGUUCACAGCGGCGGCGCAGGUCGUGGCCGUCGUCACGCGCUCGGCCCUACGACGGGUGCCGACGGUGGCUUGGGCGGCGGACGGAGAAAGCAGGAAGAAGCAACCGGGGGCUGAUUAGCAACAGAUUUGAAGAUGAAAGGUUUUUUUUGCAAAUUUGAAAAUGGACUAAGGGCUGGACAACUUUUCCCGGACGGAGGGAGUACAUUACAAAUAUAUAGGAUUUUUUUUGCAAAAUCAUCAUGGUUUAAGAGCAGUUUUGAAAAAACCGUUUUUUUCAAAACCGAAAACGCGAAUCAUAUUUUGGACUCACUUUUCAAACGGUUUGUCGGAAUUGAGCAAAUAAGAUGGCGUUGGAAAGCCGGUAAAAAUCUGCAUCUUCCAUAUAUCUAUUGUUUUUCAAAUUCUAUACAAUUUAAAAGUAAUUUGAAAAAUUGUAAAAUUCUGGGCGAAAUGUAUUUUCACUUUUUUUGCAAAACGGUUUGUCGGAUUGACGCAAAUGAUACGGCGCUGGAAAGCUAUGGAAAAUGCAUAACUUUUUUGUAUUGAAAUGUUUUUUUAAUUCCUUACGGUUUAAAAACGAAUUCGAAUACGGUCAAAUUUGAUUUCGAACGCGAUUUUUUUAAAAGUUUGUCGAAAUGGGGCAAAUAAUAUACCGUUGAAACGCUACCGAAAAUGGGAAACUUAGUCGUGUUGAACGUUUUCUCAAAUUCGCAACCGUUGAAGAGUAAUUUGGAAUACGGUGAGACACGUCGUGUUGUUUUUCCGUCAGAAAAAACAGAAUACUUGUACGGAUUUACAUGUGCGUUUGUACUGAUAUAUUUUUCAUAUAGUAAUUUAGAAAAAUUUCAGAAAAAGAGUACUUGAACGGAUCUCCGUAUGGAUUGGUACUGAGCGUAUUUUCACGUACUAGACUUUACUCUGUUUUUUCUGUAUGGUUUUUUCUCGUAACUUUUCAACCGUUCACGGUGUCCUCGUCCCGAACUUGUAUGGUUUAUAUCGUUGAACUGAAUGACAAUUUUUUUAAAAAAAAUGUUUUGUGUGUGUUUUUUUAACUAAUUUUUUUUAAUGAUGUUCUGGACUUCUCUCAUUUUACGACUUGAACUUUUACCAUUUGAAUUUUCGUGGGGUUUCAUUUUUUUUAGCUUUUUUCUCAAACUUAUCUAGGACGUCGUGUUGAACUUACAACUUUUUAAAUUGUAAACUUGUUGUGUUUUUACAAUUCCAAAGCUAGCAAAAAAAAUUCUAAGUUACUGACUCAUUUCAGGAUAUCAGAGAUAAAAAUUGCCAUCACCAAAAUCAAGCAUUAAUCCGAUCAAAGAGAUGAAAUACAUUGACUUAACUUCCAAAAGAAAUACAUGUCCUAUGGCCAACGUAAAGACAUGUAGAAGAAUUUAUUAGCAAAAUGAACUGUAGACAGUUGGGAUUAGUAGCAAAAUGAACUACCAAAAUUCUCUAACCAGUACUAUAGAUAUUAGCAAAUUGAACUUCUAGUAAUUCAUUCCAUCGGCGACGCGAGUUUUUGAAGUCUUUCUCUGCACAAACUUUGA
RNA transcript from Triticum aestivum (bread wheat), 4256 nucleotides. RefSeq lists it as uncharacterized. The transcript has 3 exons. NCBI's taxonomy places the organism in Eukaryota, Viridiplantae, Streptophyta, Magnoliopsida, Poales, Poaceae. The record is from RefSeq and is a predicted model, not a curated record.